GUCUCCCUGUUUUCCGGAAGACCAGAAGUGCAACAGAAGGCACAGACGUGCUCAGAAAGAGAAGGCGCUCCUCAGAUAUUUGGUGGAAUUGGUUGCAGUGGGAAGAAAAGCCGGGGCAUGGCCAUUCCAACAUGGAGCAAUAGGAGCCACAGGACAGUGAGGGGUGACCGGAGAAGAACUUCACAUUGAACAAAGUACUUGCUGUGCAUGUACCUUGUGCAAAGUCUCAUGUUGGGACACUGAGAUGAAG
Molecule: long non-coding RNA, 250 nt
Organism: Suricata suricatta (meerkat)
Lineage: Eukaryota; Metazoa; Chordata; Mammalia; Carnivora; Herpestidae
Exons: 3
Source: RefSeq, a predicted model, not a curated record